RNAcentral lists this ribosomal RNA (107 nucleotides) under Canis lupus familiaris (dog). RNAcentral also lists the same sequence under 1 other name. Lineage: Eukaryota; Metazoa; Chordata; Mammalia; Carnivora; Canidae. The record is from RNAcentral.
GUCUAUGGCCAUACCACCCUGAAUGCGCCCGAUCUCGUCUGAUCUCGGAAGCUAAGCAAGGUCGGGCCUGGUUAGUACUUGGAUGGGAGAAUUGGCAUGUUUAUAAU